RNAcentral lists this ribosomal RNA (244 nucleotides) under uncultured bacterium. RNAcentral describes it as "partial 16S ribosomal RNA". It matches the Rfam family "Bacterial small subunit ribosomal RNA", at positions 89 to 334 of the family's 1533-position model. The record is from RNAcentral.
UGGCGACCGGCGCACGGGUGAGUAACGCGUAUGCAACCUGCCCGAUACCGGGGUAUAGCCCAUGGAAACGUGGAUUAACACCCCAUAGUACUUUUAUCCUGCCUGGGAUGUGAGUUAAAUGUUCAAGGUAUCGGAUGGGCAUGCGUCCUAUUAGUUAGUUGGCGGGGUAACAGCCCACCAAGACUACGAUGGAUAGGGGUUCUGAGAGGAAGGUCCCCCACAUUGGAACUGAGACACGGUCCAA